AAGUUAAUGAAUUUGUUUCUGCUGUUCUUCUUAACAGUUAAUGUAAUUUUGGAAAAGUAGGAAAUAAGAACCACAUUUCAGGGCACUUUGGAUUUUUUCACGCCAACUUUAAAAGGCUGAUAAUAUUGGAUAUUGCUCAGGAACAAGAAUGAUUUGUUUUGAUUACUUCAUUCAGUCAAGAGAAUAAUCCUUUGGUAGAACAAAACUAUUCCCUCACCUGAACUCAAAUGUCAUGUGACAAAUCAGAGACAGGCUGCAUUGGCUUCUCUAAACUUUUCAGGAUGGGGGAGGAGGGAGUCUGGAUAAAGCUGGACUGGGGGAGGGUGUACUGGGGAAAGACCUGGUAAGAUGAUGUGUCUAACAGCCUCACCUAGAAAACAUUAUCUUCUCUGGCCUGAGAGCAAAGCCUGGAAUUCCAAUGUUAGAGAUUUCUUCCCCUGUUAACAUUGUUUUCUCUGGGUAAACCUUUUUAGCCACUUGGGGUUUUGAAGUCUUCUACAGAGAAAGGAUUCUGCUUGUGGGGAAGGGCUAAGAAAGAUAGCCUAAAUCCUAGAGCAGUGGCAAAAUAGGGAGGUCUUGAGUACCAACAUUCCUGAAUUUGGAUGUUUGCAUGGGGCCAGCCCUGGUUGGAGAGGUCGGAUUAUUUUAUUGUUUGAUUUGAAGAUGCUUAGGUGAAGGAAUGGUACCUUUUG
RNAcentral lists this long non-coding RNA (692 nucleotides) under Bos taurus (domestic cattle). RNAcentral's name for it is "long non-coding RNA NONBTAT016501". Lineage: Eukaryota; Metazoa; Chordata; Mammalia; Artiodactyla; Bovidae. The record is from RNAcentral.